UCAGGAUGUUGAAUUUAUGCUAGAAUAUAUUUAUUGGUUUCCCUGGUUCUAGUUUGUCGUUUCCUUUUUAAAAUUAAACAUCCUUGGAAGUGCUUAGAUCAGGGUUCUAAAAAUAAAAAGUGUUAAAUAUUAAUUCGGCAACUAGCUAGUAGCGGUGCUUUGAAUACAAACAUGUAAGUUUUGUGACUGCAUUAUAAGCUUUAUACUAUGUUAUGAUGAAUUUGCUACCUUCCUUAUGUUUUGUCAUCUACGGAUUUAUUUCAUGUAGUACAGCCAUCAUUGCAGACAGCAGCUCAAUGUUACAAUAUAAUAGCAAACAUAUAUCAAUGCCUUAUAAUUUUCUUCUUUUUUGACAAAGUAUGCUCAAUCAAGAGUCCAAAACAGAUCGACGGUUCUAUUGGAGAAGAUGCCUUGUUUAUGUGGAAUACGACGGAUCAAAAAGAAAUCCUUGCUGUCAGCUGGGGAAUAAGAAAGGGAAACAUCCCCGAUCCUCAGUUUAUCAGUGUUAAUGGAUAUCAUGGAAGGGUCACCAAAAACAAAGAUAUUGGCGACACGUUAAAAAGAAGAGUAGAAUUUAUUGGAAACUUGAAAAUAGGUCGUGCUUGGUUUGUGUUGAAGAACCUUACUGUCAAUGACACUAAUGAAUACAUUGCAAGCAUCAGUGACGAUGUAUCAUAUGAUAUACCAUAUUAUGUGCGCCUAACUGUUGCAAAGAAGGGUAAAGUUAAGCCAUGCACUCUUUUGGGAGUAACAUAACUUAUCUAUUUCAUAUAAACUUCUGAUUCCUAACUUCUUAUUCCCUAAUCCACAUAGACCGUAUUCUCUUUAAGGAAAACAAUACGAUAUACAUAUUAUACAUAUUUGUUGUGAAGUGUUAUCGUCAGGGUGAGUGUUGUGUUGAGAAAGACUGUUGUUGGUGGUGACUUACCUCUGGACAACCUGAGCGGGAGUCAAUUUCAAAGACUUUCUCUAGUUCAUGUUCAUGUCUUCCUUAAGACUACACUCACCUGGAUGAUCACUGACUUCACAGCAAACAUCAACGCCUGGGUUCAAUAUAACGAAGCAAAAUGUAGUCUUUGUAGUAUUUCGACAACCAUGCGAAACGUUGGUUAUAUUUUUAGGCAACUUCAUAACUUUGUUUUUAAUAAUAGCAAUAAUAAUAAUAAUAAUAAUAAUAAAUUGAUAGAUAGUUUAUGAUACAACAGAUGGUAAUGGGCCAUCGAUAUCAACCAACACUAUCUGUUUUGAUCAAAACCUAGCCCCAUGUAGUGAUGCAUGACCUUAUCUAACCACAAAAUGUUAAUAGCAAAUUAGUUAGAAUAUAAACCAUCUUGCGAUUAGCCCAAACACCUGGUAACUAUAACCACAUGGAUCCCGCGCGAUAUAUUUUUGAUUAUUAUGUUUUCAGUAACACCAACAGAAAGACCUUCUCCAACCCCAGUCACUACAGCUGCUGCUCCGAACAUUAUAAAUAAAUAGUGAAAAAUAGGUGUUUUUGCAUCAGUCCCUUAAUUUUGAGCUUCGACAACUAAAACUACUACAAGUUCGAACAUUACAACACCACCCAAACCGAACUCGUCAAACAUACAAAGGCACAUUAAGGGUUACAUAAUAUUAAUGGAUAUUGCACUGGUCAUGUGGCACUUAAAUUUAGGGUCUUUGUUCUCAACGAAAAGACCAAGAGAGUCAGAAACUCCCUAAACUGCAAUUAUGUUGUUGUUAGUGCGUGGGGGAAUAUAGAAAUCACCAGAGGGUGUGUAUAGACAUUGAAGGAUUACUGCAGUUCUUAACAGGGGUUGAACAAAAUUACUUUGCGAUGGCUUUAGCAGUAAUUAAAACUUCGUUAUGCGUGCUUGGAGGAAAUGGAAACCAAAAUUUUUUUUAGAUAUAUAAAUAUAUAUGCAUAUUUAACCUAUGCAUUUAAACUGAGUGGAUGUUGCAAUAGACCCCUCAUGGAGUUUCAAACUUAAACUACCUCAAAACCUUUUAGGGUACCAAGAAAAUAGUGACAUUUUGUGUAACAAAAAGCUACUGAAGAGGAUUUUGGUUGUGUGAGGUCUGAGGGGUCAUAAUACUCAGGUCUAUUGCUUUGCACGAGUGAAAUAUUCAAGAUGAGAAAUAAACCAAAGUACAAAUCAGAAUCCGAAAUGAAAAAUGAAACCAUAAGCAAAGCAACGUGGAAAUAAAUAAGCAAAAA
This 2197-nucleotide unclassified non-coding RNA is filed under the name Actinia tenebrosa (Australian red waratah sea anemone). Its description in RNAcentral is "uncharacterized LOC116290324, transcript variant X6". The record is from RNAcentral. Lineage: Eukaryota; Metazoa; Cnidaria; Anthozoa; Actiniaria; Actiniidae.